This 73-nucleotide transfer RNA is filed under the name Canis lupus familiaris (dog). It matches the Rfam family "tRNA". Rfam says of the family: Transfer RNA (tRNA) molecules are approximately 80 nucleotides in length. RNAcentral also lists the same sequence under 1 other name. Lineage: Eukaryota; Metazoa; Chordata; Mammalia; Carnivora; Canidae. The record is from Rfam by way of RNAcentral.
ACCUAGCUGGCUCAAUUGGUGGAGUGUGUGACUCUUGAUCUCAGGGUUGUGGGUUGGAGUCCGACAUUAGGUG